This 474-nucleotide ribosomal RNA is filed under the name Staphylococcus aureus. Its description in RNAcentral is "partial 23S ribosomal RNA". It matches the Rfam family "Bacterial large subunit ribosomal RNA", at positions 525 to 1001 of the family's 2925-position model. Lineage: Bacteria; Bacillati; Bacillota; Bacilli; Caryophanales; Staphylococcaceae. The record is from RNAcentral.
CCCGGAAGGGGAGUGAAAUAGAACCUGAAACCGUGUGCUUACAAGUAGUCAGAGCCCGUUAAUGGGUGAUGGCGUGCCUUUUGUAGAAUGAACCGGCGAGUUACGAUUUGAUGCAAGGUUAAGCAGUAAAUGUGGAGCCGUAGCGAAAGCGAGUCUGAAUAGGGCGUUUAGUAUUUGGUCGUAGACCCGAAACCAGGUGAUCUACCCUUGGUCAGGUUGAAGUUCAGGUAACACUGAAUGGAGGACCGAACCGACUUACGUUGAAAAGUGAGCGGAUGAACUGAGGGUAGCGGAGAAAUUCCAAUCGAACCUGGAGAUAGCUGGUUCUCUCCGAAAUAGCUUUAGGGCUAGCCUCAAGUGAUGAUUAUUGGAGGUAGAGCACUGUUUGGACGAGGGGCCCCUCUCGGGUUACCGAAUUCAGACAAACUCCGAAUGCCAAUUAAUUUAACUUGGGAGUCAGAACAUGGGUGAUAA